Molecule: ribosomal RNA, 301 nt
Filed under: uncultured bacterium
Lineage: Bacteria
Description: partial 16S ribosomal RNA
Rfam family: Bacterial small subunit ribosomal RNA
Source: RNAcentral
CAGCCGCCGCGGGAAUACGUAGGGUGCGAGCGUUAAUCGGAAUUACUGGGCGUAAAGCGUGCGCAGGCGGUUUUGUAAGACAGGCGUGAAAUCCCCGGGCUCAACCUGGGAAUGGCGCUUGUGACUGCAAAGCUAGAGUGCGGCAGAGGGGGAUGGAAUUCCGCGUGUAGCAGUGAAAUGCGUAGAUAUGCGGAGGAACACCGAUGGCGAAGGCAAUCCCCUGGGCCUGCACUGACGCUCAUGCACGAAAGCGUGGGGAGCAAACAGGAUUAGAUACCCGGGUGUCCCUGUCUCUUAUACA